ACAAGCGGUGGAGCAUGUGGUUUAAUUCGAAGCAACGCGAAGAACCUUACCAGGUCUUGAACCAUCCCCUGACAACCGAGAGAUCGGGCGUUCCCCUUCGGGGGACAGGGUGACAGGUGGUGCAUGGUUGUCGUCAGCUCGUGUCGUGAGAUGUUGGGGUUAAGUCCCGCAACGAGCGCAACCCUCGACCUUAGUUGCCAGCAUUCAGUUGGGCACUCUAAGGUGACUGCCGGCUAAAAGUCGGAGGAAGGUGGGAUGACGUCAAAUCAUCAUGCCCCUUAUGACCUGGGCUACACACGUGCUGCAAUGGGCGGUACAAAGGGUCGCGAAGGAGCAAUCCGGAGCAAAUCCCUUAAAGGCGGUCCCAGUUCAGAUUGUGGGCUGAAACUCGCCCACAUGAAGGCGGAAUUGCUAGUAAUUGCAGAUCAGCAUGCUGCAGUGAAUACGUUCCCGGGCCUU
Molecule: ribosomal RNA, 459 nt
Filed under: uncultured Anoxybacillus sp.
Lineage: Bacteria; Bacillati; Bacillota; Bacilli; Caryophanales; Anoxybacillaceae
Description: bacterial SSU rRNA
Rfam family: Bacterial small subunit ribosomal RNA
Source: RNAcentral